Non-coding RNA from Candidatus Portnoybacteria bacterium RBG_19FT_COMBO_36_7, 71 nucleotides. The record is from Rfam. NCBI's taxonomy places the organism in Bacteria, Candidatus Portnoyibacteriota.
GCGGGAUUAGUAUAUCGGUAUUAUGCGACCUUCCCAAGGUCGAGAGACGGGUCCGAUUCCCGUAUCCCGCU